Long non-coding RNA from Acanthochromis polyacanthus (spiny chromis), 1655 nucleotides. RefSeq lists it as uncharacterized. Lineage: Eukaryota; Metazoa; Chordata; Actinopteri; Pomacentridae. The transcript is spliced from 2 exons. The record is from RefSeq and is a predicted model, not a curated record.
AGGGAGAGCCGGCCCUGUUUAUAUGCGUUCUAUGAUACAAACCACAGUUAGCACUGAACACAUGGUGAAAACUUCGUGCAAUACGACUUGCUGAGCAGUAAAAUUCACAUCACUCCUCUGUAGGGAGGUGAGAGAUAUUGGAAACACACUGCUGGCCUGAAUGUACAGGUCCUUCUCAAAAAAUUAGCAUAUUGUGAUAAAGUUCAGUAUUUUCUGUAAUGUACUGAUAAACAUUAGACUUUCAUAUAUGUUAGAUUCCUUACACACAACUGAAGUAGUUCAAGCCUUUUAUUGUUUUAAUAUUGAUGAUAUUGGCCAAAAAGUAAAGAAAAACCAAAAAUCCCUAUCUCAAAAAAUUAGCAUAUUAUGAAAAGGUACUCUAAACGAGCUAUUAACCUAAUCAUCUGAAUCAACGACUUAACUCUAAACACCUGCAAAAGAUUCCAGAGGCCUUUAAAAACUCCCAGCCUGGUUCGUUACUCAAAACCGCAAUCAUGGGUAAGACUGCCGACCUGACUGCUGUCCAGAAGGCCAUCAUUGACACCCUCAAGCAAGAGGGUAAGACACAGAAAGAAAUUUCUGAGCGAAUAGGCUGCUCCCAGAGUGCUGUAUCAAGGCACCUCUGUGGGAAGGAAAAAGUGUGGCAGAAAACGCUGCACUACUACAAGAGGUGACCGAACCCUGAGGAAGAUUGUGGAGAAGGGCCGAUUCCAGACCUUGGGGGACCUGUGGAAGCAGUGGACUGAGCCUGGAGUAGAAACAUCCAGAGCCACCGUGCACAGGCAUGUGCAGGAAAUGGGCUACAGGUGCCGCAUUCCCCAGGUCAAGCCACUUUUGAACCAGAAACAGCGGCAGAAGCGCCUGACCUUGGCUACAGAGAAGCAGCACUGGACUGUUGCUCAGUGGUCCAAAGCACUUUUUUUUGGAUGAAAGCAAAUUUUGCAUGUCAUUUGGAAAUCAAGGUGCCAGAGUCUGGAGGAAGACUGGGCAGAAGAAAAUGCCAAAAUGCCUGAAGUCCAGUGUCAAGUACCCACAAUCAGUGAUGGUCUGGGGUGCCAUGUCAGCUGCUGGUGGUGGUCCACUGUGUUUUAUCAAGGACAGGGUCAAUGCAGCUGGCUAUCAGGAGAUUUUGGAGCACUUCAUGCUUGCAUCUGCUGAAAAGCUUUAUGGAGAUGAAGAUUUCAUUUUUCAGCACGACCUGGCACCUGCUCACAGUGCCAAAACCACUGGGAAAUGGUUUACUGACCAUGGUAUUGCUGUGCUCAAUUGGCCUGCCAACUCUCCUGACCUGAACCCCAUAGAGAAUCUGUGGGAUAUUGUGAAGAGGAAGUUGAGUCACCAGACCCACCACUGUGGAUGAGCUUAAGGCCGCUAUCGAAGCAUCCUGGGCCUCCAUAACACCUCAGCAGUGCCACAGGCUGAUUGCCUCCAUGCCACGCCGCAUUGAAGCAGUCAUUUCUGCAAAAGGAUUCCCGACCAAGUACUGAGUGCAUAAGUGAACAUAAUUAUUUGAAGGUUGACUUUUUUUGUAUUAAAAACACUUUUCUUUUAUUGGUCGGAUGGAAUAUGCUAAUUUUUUGAGAUAGGGAUUUUUGGUUUUUCUUUACUUUUUGGCCAAUAUCAUCAAUAUUAAAACAAUAAAAGGCUUGAACUAC